CACAGUUUUAUUUGUCUUGGACAUUGCACAUCAAGUCCUCUUAUUCAUUUUUAUUUUAAUCAGACAAGAUUUUUCAGAACCUUGCCUACUUUUGAAACAACGUCAUUCAAAGUAGAUGUUAGUGGUCCAGUUUACACUUUAGAUCAUGUACAGACAAAAUAAGAAUGAACGUUGAACACAGGAUGUGGAAGGGGCGCAAGUUAGUGUCUACAUUUAGAACCUCCAGUAGUUCUUACAAACAUAAGCUUAAUUUUACAGUACAGGAGGGCUCAAAGAUCUGUACCAUUGCCACAUGGUGGGGCCUGUAUGCCCCUGUGAUGGCUGAAAGUUGAUCUUGUGCCUCAAUUACACAAUGAUUGGUUCCACCAUGUAAUGAGAAAAUCUCAACGGGCUACUAGUUAACUACCAAGCCUUGUUAUUUUCGGAGUAUCUUGCAUCUUUCCAGCAGUAGCUUAUUUAGGGGAGGCAGGUAGGAAAUGUCCUCCCACUUAGGAAGCUUCAGAACAUGUUACAGUAGGUAAUUAGGCAAACAUGAGCAGGGCAGAAGAGGGCCCCACACCAGUAUUGUCAGGAGACCAUCCAGUGAUGGUCAGGUGGUUGUUAAACUGUCUCUUUAAAAUAAUAAUUGGUUGUAGUUGGCACCAGGGAGAGGCAGUCUCCUAACAGAUAGAAAAGCCUGAAACUGGUGAUCAGCAGCUUCCUAAUAAUAUCUCAGGAGUUGGAUGAGUGGGCUCAAGCAUACACACUGAGAGGCAAAAAUGGUGGCAUCUGACUGCUAUACGAUCUUCCUCUAGGAACAUUCAGCUGGCAAGGGAAAAUGCCUCAAGUGAGUAUGUUCACAACUCCAGUAAUCACACUGCGCAUGCGGCCCCUCCCAAGUGCUGGCAGGUCACUGCACAUACUGACAGCCUACUGCAAUGAAAGAAUCAGGGGAGAAUGGACACAAGACCCCGGAAGGAUGCCAAUGUAUGAAACCCCAAGUCAAAGCAACCUAUGUACUUGGAUCUCUCAAGUUGCCCACUUGGCCCUCUUCCAAGUGUACCUUACUUCCUUUUGUUCCUGCUCUAAAACCUUUUAAUAAACUUUCACUCCUGCUUUAAAACUUGCUUCAGUCUCUCCCUCUACCUCAUGUUCCUUGGUCAAAUUCUUUCUUCUGAGGAGGCGAGAAUUGAGGUUGCUGUAGACGCGUGUAGAUUCACCAGUGCUAACAAACACAGUUUACUGAACUGUUGCAGGUUCCACCCUCACUUCCGUGAAAGCAACGUGAGCCAAUUGUGACCCAUCAUGUCAGUAGUUUCAGUGGUGGGAUUGCAUGAAAAACACAAUGGUGAAACUCAUUCCUUUUAAAUGACAGUUCUGUACAAGUGUUCCUUCCUACUGAGAUUCCCAUGACGUUCGUCUCCAGGGUUGCGUUAGCAUUUCUCCAAGGAAGCUUGUCCCAGCCCUUUGAGUAGGAGCUGCACUGCAGGGCUGGAAUGAUGGGUUGGAAGGUCGCUCUCACUAAUAUGAGCUAUGGUGACUUCGUGCAAGUGAAUUGUGAACAGUAAUUCAGCUGAACUAAAUGGGAGCACUCAGGAAAACUUAAGGCAAAGGGGAAAAAGGAGUUAGAGUAGACAUGAGACUCACAAAGCUUACGUGGGAUUUCUUGAGAAAGAGCCUCCUCAGGUACUCAGUUGAUGGCCCAUGGCAAGACUGAAAUUAUUGCCAAGUUCGCUAGUGAGUGGGAUUUAAGAUAAUAAAAACUCCACAUUGCUAAAAGCCAAAAAGCCAAACUUUGUGCCAUGUUUUAUGUCAGAAAAUGUGCUUAUAGAAUGCCACAUAGGCCAAAGUUCACACUUAUUUUUUUUUCUCAAUUUGAAAAGGAAGUGGGGGUUACAACAAUGUCUCACAUAUCCCACUGUGUAUUUACAGUGGAGUUAGUUUUUCCAAGCCAGAAAAACAAGACCCCUCAGCUGUCAGAUAUCAAACUGGAUCAACAUUACCGAUGCAUUAGUAGAUAAUUCUCCGUAUUAGUUCUCAUGUUUCUAUUACGUAUAACUUACUUUUUAACCACAGCUUUGCUUUAAACUAUAAUUAAAAAGUCAACUGAAUCUCUGUGAAAACAAAUGGCUCCUGAGAUUUUGAAACUACCAGAAACUACCAGAAAUUUAAACAGCCUCAGGAGACAGCACCUACAGGAAUAAUGACAAGCCUGUAGAUUGCAUACCGAAAAUUACUUAGUUGUUAACUAAUUUAUGACUUGGAAUUUUGAUAAUAACUUUCAGCCAGUAGGGUCAUUGUGAAGACUUUAAAACUGCUGUGCAAGUCAGAAUGUGACUCAGCCACAGAGAACUGAGACUUUUUCAAUCUGAGGGCAUGGUGGGAGGUGGGUCCUUCCUAACUACCUUGUGGGGGUACAGGAAGAAAGAGAAAGAUCCCCACAGAGGCUGACUGUGUUGGCCUAAGUGUGGGGAUUUCCACCAAGCACCCUAGUGAUGCCCAUGCUGCUGGCCUAAGGACCUUGCUGUGGGCACCACAGGACUUGGGACUUCACCCCUCAGAGUGGGAAGCUUCUCUUCCUCAUCUGGCCUGUGCUGGAACCCACGGUGAACGGCUUCUUGGAGCAGAAUGUGCAACUCUGACAGAGAGUAAAUUCUUCCUCAUGUUAAACUGAGGAUUGCGCAACCCCUGAUAUGGCAGUCUUGCUGAUACAACUUGCUGCAAAGAGACACCCACACUUUUCCCAGGGCUGAGAAGACAAGCAGUUGAUGAUCUAUAUUGUGGCUGUACUUGUGAACCUGGGAGCUGACAGGCAGGAUCACUGAACCCCUCCCUCAAAUCUGAGGAAGUCUAAGGGCUAUGAUCCCUGUGGUCAGCUGGCCGAGGCAUUCUCCCUAGAAACAGGCCUCUGCAUGGAUUCAAGUUCACUGAUUUGCUGAAGAGUUGUUAGGAUUCUGUCCAGGAGGGACAGACAUUCCACCCUCACUCUCAUCAACCCCCAAAACGUGUAGGUUUGGAUAAAUCCCAGGGAUCAUCCUCAAUUGGCUCAUUUAAAGAUAGAGAAGUCUGGGCACAGUGGUUCACGCCUGUAAUCCUAGCACUUUGGGAGGCCGAGGCAGGUGGAUC
This 3105-nucleotide long non-coding RNA is filed under the name Homo sapiens (human). RNAcentral describes it as "long non-coding RNA NONHSAT205303". Lineage: Eukaryota; Metazoa; Chordata; Mammalia; Primates; Hominidae. The record is from RNAcentral.